UACAGAGGUCCCAAGCGUUGUUCGGAUUCAUUGGGCGUAAAGGGUGCGUAGGUGGCGUCGUAAGUCGGGUGUGAAAUCUCGGGGCUUAACUCCGAAACUGCAUUUGAUACUGUGGUGCUUGAGGACUGGAGAGGAGACUGGAAUUCACGGUGUAGCAGUGAAAUGCGUAGAUAUCGUGAGGAAGACCAGUGGCGAAGGCGGGUCUCUGGACAGUUCCUGACACUGAGGCACGAAGGCCAGGGGAGCAAACGGG
RNAcentral lists this ribosomal RNA (253 nucleotides) under uncultured bacterium. RNAcentral's name for it is "partial 16S ribosomal RNA". It matches the Rfam family "Bacterial small subunit ribosomal RNA", at positions 524 to 776 of the family's 1533-position model. The record is from RNAcentral.